UGAAACACGGACCAAGGAGUCUAACAUAUGCGCGAGCCAAUGGGCGGAAAACCCAAAGGCGCAAUAAAAGUAAAAGCUGUUUCGGACAGCCGAGGUACGAUCCUAUCGUAAUUGGUAGGCGCAGUACCGUCCCGUCCCGACCGCAUAUCGGUAGGGCGGAGAUAGAGUGCAUACGUUGGGACCCGAAAGAUGGUGAACUAUGCCUGAGCAGAGCGAAGCCAGAGGAAACUCUGGUGGAGGUUCGUAGCGGUUCUGACGUGCAAAUCGAUCGUCAGACUUGGGUAUAGGGGCGAAAGACUAAUCGAACCAUCUAGUAGCUGGUUCCCCCUGAAGUUUCCCUCAGGAUAGCUGAUACUCGUCAAUGAACGAAGUUUUAUCCGGUAAAGCGAAUGAUUAGAGGCCUUGGGGACGAAAUGACCUCAACCUAUUCUCAAACUUUAAAUGGGUAAGAAGUCGAGCUUGCUCGAUCGAAGCCCGACACAAGAAUUCGAGUAUCAUGUGGGCCAUUUUUGGUAAGCA
RNAcentral lists this ribosomal RNA (519 nucleotides) under Mesodorylaimus bastiani. RNAcentral describes it as "eukaryotic LSU rRNA". It matches the Rfam family "Eukaryotic large subunit ribosomal RNA", at positions 655 to 1146 of the family's 3401-position model. The record is from RNAcentral. Lineage: Eukaryota; Metazoa; Nematoda; Enoplea; Dorylaimida; Dorylaimidae.